Molecule: ribosomal RNA, 342 nt
Filed under: uncultured Vibrio sp.
Lineage: Bacteria; Pseudomonadati; Pseudomonadota; Gammaproteobacteria; Vibrionales; Vibrionaceae
Description: bacterial SSU rRNA
Rfam family: Bacterial small subunit ribosomal RNA
Source: RNAcentral
UCGAGCGGAAACGACAACAUUGAAUCUUCGGAGGAUUUGUUGGGCGUCGAGCGGCGGACGGGUGAGUAAUGCCUAGGAAAUUGCCUUGAUGUGGGGGAUAACCAUUGGAAACGAUGGCUAAUACCGCAUAAUGCCUACGGGCCAAAGAGGGGGACCUUCGGGCCUCUCGCGUCAAGAUAUGCCUAGGUGGGAUUAGCUAGUUGGUGAGGUAAUGGCUCACCAAGGCGACGAUCCCUAGCUGGUCUGAGAGGAUGAUCAGCCACACUGGAACUGAGACACGGUCCAGACUCCUACGGGAGGCAGCAGUGGGGAAUAUUGCACAAUGGGCGAAAGCCUGAUGCA